RNAcentral lists this long non-coding RNA (31761 nucleotides) under Citrus x clementina. Its description in RNAcentral is "Citrus clementina (C. clementina) long non-coding RNA (CCLE_LNC000500)". Lineage: Eukaryota; Viridiplantae; Streptophyta; Magnoliopsida; Sapindales; Rutaceae. The record is from RNAcentral.
UUUGUCCCAGAAAGAUGGGUAAUUUGAAGCACAUGAGGCGUCUUGAUCUGGCGGGAAAUUCUAAAAUCAAGAAACUUCCAAAAUCCAUUUGCGAGCUACAGAGUUUACAAACACUGAAUCUUGAAGGAUGUCUGGAGCUAGAAGAGUUGCCUAAAGACAUAAGGUACCUUGUUAGUCUCAGAGUGUUAGGGCUAACCACAAAACAAAAGUCUUUGCAAGAGAGUGGAAUAAGGAGCUUGAGUUCUCUUCGUUGGUUGUCAAUUUCUAAAUGCAGGAAUUUAGAACAUUUGUUCGAGGAGAUAGAUCAAUUAUUGUCCUUCGAACAUUAUUAAUUGCUAAUUGUCCUCGUCUAAUCUCAUUGCCACCUGCUAUCAAAUAUCUCAGCUCAUUAGAGACUCUGAUGUUGUGGAAGUGUGAAAGCCUUGAUCUUAAUCUGAACGUGGAAAUGGAAGGUGAAGGAAGUCAUCAUGAUUGCAAAGACACAAGGCCUCACCUUUGGAGGGUUUUCGUUGUGGAAAUAACACUGUUAUUAGAACUGCCGCAAUGGCUUCUUCAAUGUUGUACUGAUACUUUACGGAACUUGGUUAUUGGAGAUUGUCCCAACUUCAUGGCACUGCCAGGGUCUCUAAAAGAUCUCAAAGCUCUUGAAACUCUUACCAUUCUAGGAUGUCCAAAAUUGUCAUCGUUGCCGGAGGAUAUGCAUGACGUCACAACUCUGAAAUCAUUGACCAUUGCAGGAUGUCCUGCACUGAGUGAAAGAUGCAAACCGCCAACAGGUGAAGAUUGGCCCAAGAUUGCACAUAUCCCUCAGGUUCAUCUUGAUGGCGAGAUGAUUGAAUCAAGUGAUAAUUAGGUAUGGAUUUUUUUUUUUCAAUAAGCGUACCACUCUGUUAUAUUUCCUCUUUUCAUGCAGCUUUCUAAUUUUUAAUUUCUCAUACAGCUAUACCGUUUAUAGUUUAAUGUUUUGUUAUGUUUACCAAACGAAAACUUGACUUUGAACGUUAGUUAGUUCAAUCAAAUUUGUACUAAUUUAUUUUCUUCUAAUACAUAAUUAUUUUGUCGGUACGAAAAACAAAAAUAAUAUUUUGGAAACCGCACUGUUCUCGGGGUCAGAUCUGUUUCUAAAUUCAAACAGUUCAGGAUUUUUCAAAAUGGAACUUAUAAUGAGAUUUUUUUUUUAAUUAUCUAGUUAUCUUCAUAUGGAAUUUCAAUCUUUGUUAAUACUUUAACUUGCCCCGAAACAUCUGACUAUUCUUCCUCUUGUCCUUUUUUUUUCCCAAAUAUUGCAGCUUUCUUGGGAGAGGUUCAACCAAACUGCAGGGACAGUGAAAAUAUUACUCUAAGUUACAAGUAUUAUAUAUUCGUUACGUGUGGUUAUGUAAUUUGCUGAUAAAUAAGUACAUUGAGUGAGGUAUAUGUGUGUGCCUGUGUGGUCAUUACUGAAUUUCUCAGUAAUAUAAUUUGCAUUGACUGCAGAUUUGUGAAGAACAUUGAUUCCAAACAUGUGGUGUCUGUAUUUUGUGCUUUGUGAUUGACGACUUACAUUUGCCCAGGAAGAAAUGAAAACAAAUCGGCUUCUUGAAAUUAACCAUUUAUUCUUUCGAAUGGUAACCUUUUUGUGACAUGAUUCGCAUAUUAAUCAAACGUAGUUGGCAAACUAAUUAGAUAUUGCAUCGUGAUUCGUGGCCUUGAAGUGAAAUGAGUGUUGGUGCUAAUUAGCAAUGUAACUUGUUUUGAUUAAAAUUCAAUGACUUUCUUCGUAUUAAUCAAAUUAAUUAAUAAAUUAUUUUGGUAAAAAGAAUUUGCCAAUUUUGUGGCGGUCUUGAGACCCUUGACGGUGGUGAAAUUGAUUCACGGUUUCAAAUGAAGACAUGCAGCGGAUGCGUGCGUGCCGUAUGACAUCGAUGAAAAAGUAAAGAGUUUGAUUUCUCUAUUUUACCCUUAAUUAAUCGUUGACGUCUAAUUUUACACUCCCAACAAAUUUGAAUGAAACAAUCCUAAUGUUCACUUUCUUCUUCCAUUUCAUUUUACGACUUAACAAAAUCUCGCAACGGAGAUGCUCCUGAUGAGGAGAAGGAGAAGAAGACACAGCGAGUUCGCAAGAACGUGUACAGAGGAAUAAGGCAGAGGCCAUGGGAGAAAUGGGCAGCUGAAAUUAGAGACCCUUACAAGGGCGUCCGCGUUUGGCUCGGCACAGCCGAAAAAGCUGCAAGAGUUUAUGCUGACGUCGCCAAGAAUAUCCGUGGCUCGACUUUGCUCACCGGCCGCCAGUAACUCCACCUCCAGGUAAGAAACGCUUCGUGCUAUCCCGUGAGUUGACUCACCCGAAUUUCGGAGAUUACUUUUUUAUUGGUUUUCAUUGAUUUCUUUUCCUGCUCUUAUCUACGAGGUUGUGCUUUCCCUUGGAUGCCCUUUAAUAAACAGCUUUCUUAAUAACAACUGAAGCGAAAAGUCAUUUUAUCAAAUGAUUUGGUGAAAUUUCAAGUACUUUCAUCUUGGUUUAUGCAGUUAAUAGGAAAUAGUUUGGUGUUGGGAUGUGUUAUAUGUAUCAAGUUCUUAUUGCUGGUUUGUUUCUCAUAAUCGUUAUCCAGUCAAAGCAAACGUUCGCCUCUCACAUUGACGGUUAGGCUAGAUGUUUGACCCUGAAUAAGAUGAUUGAGUUUAUUAUAGUCUUCUUAUAUUGUCGGUUCAAUAUCAUUUUGAAAUAUCACAUCAAUUCCGCGUUUGGAGUUUUAAUCCAUGCCCAGUUACACCUUUAUUUUACUUUUAAGCUGCAACAUUGAGUCACAUUCUUUUUCUGUUAUUAUUACGAUUAGCGACUGGUACAGUGGUAUUUGAACUGCAUAGCGUGUCAACUUUCACUCUAAAUGUCUUAGAAACUCUGUCUAUCACUAAUUUCCUAGAACAGGCCUCGUUGACAGUCAAAGAUUUGAGGCGUAUUUCUGGACUGAAGGCUUUUCUCUAGUCAAUUUGAUGAUAAGCGCAUUUAUUAUCUCCAGCAUUAAGCAGUAAUUUGUAACUAGUAGUAGCCAGUACCUAAGAUGUUGCAUUUGACUGUCUUCUCUUUCUGGUUCAGUUUCGACCUUUGGAGCUGUUUUAGACAUGGUAACGGAUAGGUAAUUUCUCUCUACCCCACCCCACAAUGUAUCAUCAGUCAUCAUUCGUUGUGGUUGGUGGAGAUACACAUACUAAUUUGGAUUAUUGUCCGUGCCUUCGUCUUUUGUCAAUAAUCUUUUGCAUUUCAGGAUUAGUACAGCUUGUCUACUGGUAAUACUCUCUCAAGUAUACAGGGAAGACUUUGUUACGUUUUCUUGACCCGUAAUCUAAUGUUUUAAGAUGAAGGCAUAAUUGAGCUAUCUUGCAUCUCCAUGCAGGCCUGGUUUGGUUUUUGUGUCACUACCUGUAUUAGAUAUUGGUAGUCAAUGGCUGCAGAUGUACAGGUACCUUUUCGUUUCCCUGACAUAAUCUCAUGUUACAUGAAAUUGCUCGUGGAACUGGGAGAUUUUUUAUUUUUUAUUUUUUCAUAUUUACUAAAGAAAAGUGUUACUUUCGUUGGGAAAAAUGCCUACCACUCUUUAUCUCUGUUGCAGUACAUUCUUAACAGGAAAAACUCGACAUAAAGAUGCAAAAGACAGCACAAAUUGGCUUUUCAAAGCCUAUUAUGGGAACCGGAUGUUUAUGGGUUAUUGUUGUGUGGCGUGUGAGGUAAUUGUAGCUUUCCGUGUUAUUAUACAUAUCAGGAUUUGCAAAUGUUAUCGGUACUUUUUACCUGAUCCAACUGUUUCAACCCUGCAGCUUCUUUACCUAAUCCUAUUUCUUAUUGCGUAGAAGCAGAGGGAAAGCUUGGUGGAUGUAGGCUCUCAUUUUCUUACUAUUAGAUUGUUCUGAAAAUAGAAAUAUUUCCCCUGUUUCUUGAUUUUCAAACAAUUUCUUCUUUCAGGUUGUGGCGAGUGCUGUGCAACAGGGUUCGCCUCUUUCCUUCCUAGUUGCAUUGAGUUUAUUCGCAUGGGCGCAAUCAAGCAAACGAUUAAUGUCGGACAGGUAACUUCAACCCCAUAUGAUGGUAAUGUUCGUUUAAAUAAAUUUCUUGAUGUCUACAAAUUAAGGAAACCUUUGUAUGGGUAAAGUUGACAUUUUACACUGGCAUUAUGGGUCUUGAAAUCGGUCUGUUUUAGAUUCACAUGCUGUGAUAUGCUCUAAUGUUAAAACUCAAACCUCUUCUGCAUGUUAAAUGGAUUGUCGUGGAUAUGCCUGGGAUGAUCAUUUUCUUCGUUUUCACUCAUCGUCUUUGUCAUUGUAGUUAUAAUUGAUUGUGGAGAGUGAAAACGCACUGUGAUGAAUGAAUGCAAAAGCUAUGUAAUUAAGACUACAUUUAUUAGGUUGGUGACCACAAAUAAUCGGAAGGAUAUUCACAAUAGUGUUAUUGAAGCUCUAUAUGGAAUAAGGAGACCAAACCUGUAUGUGAUAAGAGUUGUAUGAAUACCAAAUGAAUUGUCAGAGGAUAUGGUUACUUUAGAUUGCAAUUUAAGAAUGCUUGAGUUCUAAAAGCACAGAAAUGGGAUCAGUUAGGGUAAACUCCUUCGUCAGUUAGUGAACUGUCCAUCAAAAGUAAAUAUUUAUGUGAUUGAGAGAAAUUUUGGAUUUUUGAUGAAAACAAAAAUCCUGUAUGCAUUUGCUUGCCCCCAAGGAGCUGAAGAUUCUCAAAUUGUUUGUAGACGUAAUAGUUCUUCUGAUAUCAUUUGGCUUGCUAAUCUUUCUUGCUCGAAAAUUUACCCGUUGUGUGGUCUUGAUGGUGGAUGAAAUUGAUGUGUGGUUUCAGAUGAAGACGGCAGCAGAUAUGUGUGUGCCAUAUGACAUCGAGAAAAAGCAAAAGCCUUAAAGAGUUCAUCAACAUUUUCCAUUCAGAAGAAUAUGUUUUGUGGUUUUCAAUAUAAUUGAAGAAAUGAUGUUUGUACUGAUGCAGAUGCAGGAACUUUACACAUCUUAAGUUUACGAGAUAUAUAUAUAUUUUUUUGACUCUGUUAGAUAGCUGUCAGUUAGUUAACCAAUUUAUGUUACUCUUCCUUGGCUAGCCAAUUAAGAACUUAUGUUUGCUGGAUUGUAAAGCCUACAUCUGGAAGCCACAGGUGAUUUUAUUUGAAGGCAAUUUGUACUAGGCUAUAUGCGGAUUUCUAUCUUGAUUUCUGUAUGCUUGAAGGAGAUUUUUUUAUGCGUGAGAGCUUGAAAAUUAUACAUGUACAUGUUGAAACUAUUGGAUAUAUGUUAAGAAUCAAGCAUAAUUGUGUCAAGAUGAAACCAUAAUUUGGGUGCUGUUUUAUGAGUAAACUAUCUGCAAUUUGGGUGCAGUAAACCUAGGUUGAAUACCAGGACAUGGUAUAAAAGUGAAAUCACACAUUGAAUCUCGCAUAAAGAUUUUAAAGAUGCAAAUUCGAAUUGUACAUGAGAUGUUAUCUUGAUCGAAUUGCAGCGGCUUUGUUUUGGAUCCAGAAAACAAAAUUGAAGGCAUAGAGAAGUCUCUAUGGGAUGCUUAUAUUAAGGUGCAUAAUGGCCUCAUUGAGUUUUGUGCUGUUGUUCUACGUUGUUUGAGUUUUGUGCUGCGGUUCUGUGUUGCUGCUUUUGCUACCGAUUUUGGCUAUUUUCUGCCACUCUGUUAUUUGCUAUUUUUUACUACUUUCGCUGCUGAUUUUUACUGUUUUCGCUGCUUUAGCUGUUGUUUUAUCUGCUGUUUUUUUUUACUGCUUUUAUUUUUUAUUUUUUCUGUUCUCUAUCGUGUUUUACCCACUGGUUGUCGCAUGUUUAUUAAUAUUGUUUGCUGCUGUUUGAUUUGCUGUUUUUUGCUGCUAAUUUUUUUUCCUGUUUUCUGCGGUUAUUUGCUGCCGUUACUGUUUUACUCGCCAGUUGAUGAUGUUUUGUGGUUCUCCUCCUCGAAUGCCUACUUUUUCCAGUGUGCAAGCAUAUCUGUUGAGAGUGGCUGAUGAAAUCACUAAACUGUUACAGUUGAUCUCAUGCUUCUCUAGAGAAGGAAUUAGACUUAUUUUGGUGAAGGGGUUUUUUCUGGUUUUUAUAUCAGUGUGUGCAUUUCUUCAAUCACGUAGCUUUGUGGCAUUACGAUCGAUAAUGGCUGUUAAGCGAAUAAAAGCACCAGGUCGGCCAUACUAUUAUUGCCACCCCGGCAUGGAUCACCUCAGCCCUGUGGUACGAGCAGAGCACAGGGGCACACAUCGACCAGAUGUUCAUAUCAAACCGAUAUACAUUCCCCAGAAAAGCGGGAACACGAUCCCACAGAAUCACUGCAGUUGCGCUUUGCCCAGAACCGUUGAAGGACACGGGAGAUCCCACGUUUGCCACAAUGCAACAAUCAGAGCCCCAUGAGGGGCGGCCACCACCCGAAAAAAGGGGGAUAGAGGGUAAGCGGAAAACGUGGGACAAACAGCGGCUAUAAAAGAAGAGGAAAUCGAUGAAGAAAAGGACACAGAAAAAUUGAGAGGGGAAAACGCUGCCAAAUUGCAACCAGGCCAUUUUCUUACAAAUUUCGAACAAACUUCUUGAAUCCAAAUUACAUUGUUUUCCCGUAAACACCUUGUACUAACUUAGGCAUCGGAGGGUUUACGCCGGCAAAACCACCGGCGUCUCUGAUCCGUUUUUGCUGAACGCAGGUCUAGUGAGAGAAAGGAGGGUGAUUCCAGCCUUAGCGGUUCGUGCAACAGUCGAUAUCUUAAACGUUGGUGGAAGAAUCUGGUCAGUCCAAGGACGAGCAGAUUUCGGCAUCAACAUUUUGGCGCCGUCUGUGGGGAGCUGGAUAAAAAGCUACCACCGAAUCAGUAGUUACCGGAGAAACAGCGAACGAUUAGAUAUGGAUGUGCCGAGAAAGGAUGCUUUGAGGGAGGAUAACGAAACUGUGGAGACAAUCACUCUCCGGGAAAUUGCAAAUGAAGCUUGGGAGAGGAUGAUGCAAGACCGAUUGGAGCGGAUGGAGAAACAAAUGGAGACUCUCGCGACCAUAGUGUAUGAGCUGAGGGAUGAGCGGAGAAAGGAUUGUGAAACCCCCGUGGGGAGAGAUGAUGUUGGAGCAGAACCCAGCUUCCGAAGGCGUAGAGUUGAGGAAAUCCCUCCGCCGGUAGACCAACUUAAUGGGGUGCAUCCCCACAGAAGCACUAGUCGGGCUUCAGGAGAACGAGUAGAUGAAGGGAGGGACCAACCUUGCCCCGGACGGGUACCGGAGAUUGAUGGCCGAGGGGCCAGUAUUGAUGAAGGAGAGCUCAGACAGCGGUUGCAAAAUGCCGAGCAGGAACGAGUUCAGAUAGCUGCGCGUGAUCCUGACCGUGCCGUAGAAUUGGAGGAAGAAGUGCGCAGAUUAGCGCAAGUGAUAGAGGAGAUACAGGGCAAGAGAAAGUCCCCGAGCUGGAGGAUAAUGCUAGAUGAAGAAUCUCCACUAUCAGCUGUGAUCAUGGGUACCAUAAUCCCAAGAGAUUUCCGCUUUCCCGACCUCAAAUACUCCGGGCGAAGUGAUCCAUUGGUGCAUAUUGAACGUUUCAACGACGUGACGGGUGUUCAAGGGUUAACACCAGCCCAGAGAUGUAGGGUGUUACCAUUGACACUGGAAGGACGAGCCGGAGAAUGGUACCGCAAGCUGUCACGAGGAAGUAUCAGAGGGUACGAGCAGAUGUGCCAAGAGUUGGCCGAACAGUUCCGAGGAGCAGUGGCCUCAGAGGAUGAUAUGAUGGAGCUAAUGGGAAUGAAGCAGGAGGAACAAGAAUCCCUUCGGGAUUUUGUAAAACGAUACCACCGAGCCGUGCUUGAUUUGGGGGCCUUCAAUCACCCGCAGGCGUUGAGGGGAUUAAAGGAGGGAGUGAGGAUAGGCCGGCUAUGGUAUAACCUGAGAAGUCCCUUGGUACAAAAUUACUCAGCGGGGUAUGAGCAGGCAAAGAGAGACAUUGAAAUCGAAGAGAAAAAGUCGGCGAGGAUAAAAAGUGAACAACUGGAGGAGCUGAGAAGAAAGGAAAGGAGAAUCCCGAGUGGGAGCGGAUCGGGAAAGCGAGCUGGGGAGUCCUCAGCUAUGGGCGGAAUAUCAGCUUGGUCCCGCCCUUACCACGUAGCUCCGAGACCACAACAGUUCCAACACAGCCGAGCCCAACCUCCGCGCACUUCAUUCCCGGAGCGGCAACGAGAAUUCAGGCAGAUGGCUGCCCGCCCUUAUUACAACGCUCCCAGAGCAUUACAUGCAAGUGGUUCCAGGGCAGGAAGACCAGACCAGCUAGCGACUAUACCAACCCGAGAUGACAUUCAGGAUAGCCGAGCAGUUCAACUGGUAGACCAGAGCUUGGCAUAUAGACAGUACACUCCAUUGAAGAUCUCAAUGGAGGAAUUGUAUGAGAGGAUCGAAGGACGAGGCCUGCUGUACCCGCCAGCCCCUAUAACAAAACUGGCUCACCGACGGGAUAAGAACAGAUUCUGCAAGUUUUACGACACUCAUGGUCACACAAUCGACCAAUGUCGUGACCUGAAGAUUCAGGUGGAGGACUUAGUACGGAACCGGUACUUGGAUGAGUAUGUAGAGGGGGUGUCCCCGAUCAUCGAAUCAAAGUAUAUACGGGAUGAAGAAGUUCAGAGGGGUUUGGAACGUGAACAGCCGACCAUCCAUGUGAUAGCUGGGGGGCCAACAUUGGCUGGGGAUUCGAACAGAGCACGGAAGAACUAUGGGAGAUACGCCAUGACUGGCAAAGAGGUGCUUCUAAAUUUGCCAGCGGCCAAGAAGGCGAAGGUACGGCAAGUUCCCAUUAUGUGGACGGAGGAUGACGAGGAGGGUAUUUUGUAUCCUCAUGAGGAUGCACUGGUGAUUAAAGCAUUGGUGGCUAGCACAGAAUUGCGGCGAAUACUGGUGGACACGGGCAGUUCAGUUGACAUUCUAUUUAAGUCAGCCCUAAAUGAUAUGGGGAUUUUAGAUUUAAAGCUGGAGCGGAUGAAUACAUCCUUAAAAGGAUUUGGAGGGGGACGGUUAACUCCCUUGGGGAUCAUUGAACUCCCGAUUACUGUGGGGACAAAGCCGUUUGAAAGAACGGUGAUGCUGGACUUCGUCGUGGUAGAGGAAAGAAGCCCUUAUCAGAUGAUAUUGGGGAGACCGUUCAUGAGGAUAAGCCAAUGCGUUGUAUCAACGCAUUAUUUGGCGCUAAAGUACAGAGUAAAUAAAGUGGUAGGCGUUGUAAAAGGCGACCAGAGGAUGGCAAGGAGCUGUUAUGCUACAGCAGCCAAGGAGACAUUAUAGGUUACUUCUCUGGAUAAUCGAGGAGAUUCUAAAAAGGGUCGCCAAGAGCCUGUUGAAAAGCUAGAAGAGAUUGUUAUAAGCAGAAGCAACCCGAGUAGAGUGGUUAAGAUCGGAUCAGGACUGGUCGGGACAGUAAAAGACGAGCUGGUAAAGUGCCUACAGUCCCAUGCAGAUAUAUUCGCCUGGUCUCACGGGGACAUGCCAGGAAUUGAUCGCAAGGUAGCUUGCCACAAGUUGACAAUCAAGAAGGGGGCAAGGCCGGUGAGACAGAAGAGGAUAUGCUUUAACCAGGAAAGGUACGAGGCCAUAAACACCGAGGUGGAGAAGCUGUUGAAAGCAUGAUUUAUAAGGGAGGCCAAGUACCCAGAGUGGAUUUCCAAUGUAGUACUGGUGAAGAAGGCCAACGGGAAGUGGAGAAUGUGUGUGGAUUUCACAGAUCUUAAUAAGGCGUGCCCGAAAGACAGUUUUCCUCUACCAAAGAUAGACCAAUUGGUGGAUUCGACAGCGGGUCACAGUCUGCUCAGCUUCAUGGAUGCCUUUUCGGGAUACAACCAGAUACCCAUGGACGAGCAGGAUGAGGAAAACACCACCUUUAUAACUAAUAUGGGUUUGUUUUGCUACAGGGUAAUUCCUUUCGGCCUGAGAAAUGCCGGAGCUACGUAUCAAAGGAUAGCGAACAAGAUCUUCAAGCCCUUGAUUGGACAUACUAUGGAGGUAUAUGUAGACGAUAUGAUCACAAAGUCCAAAGAACCGAGGGAUCACGUGAAACACUUGGAAGAAACCUUUGAAUUGUUGAGGAAGUAUGAAAUGAGGCUAAACCCGGAGAAGUGUGCAUUUGGGGUUAGCUCGGGCAAAUUUUUAUGAUUCCUAGUAAGCCACCGAGGGAUCGAGGCCAACCCGGAAAAAAUACGGGCGGUGAUAGAAAUGAGGUCCCCACGAACAGUUAAGGAGGUGCAGAGCCUUACAGGGAAGUUGGCAGCAUUAAACCGAUUCAUCUCGCGGGCCACAGAUAAAUGUCACCCUCUCUUCCAAACCAUAAAGAAAGGGAAAAAGAUGGAGUGGACAUCAGAAUGCGAGGAAGCGUUUGAGCAGCUGAAGGAAUACCUGACCCGGGCCCCAUUACUAUCGACUCCGAGAGAGGGUGACCAGCUGCUGUUGUACUUAGCAAUCUCUAAAUGGGCUACCAGCUCGGUAUUAGUCAGGGAAGAAGAAGGAAAGCAACACCCGGUAUACUACACGAGCAAGGCCCUGGUAGAUGCAGAAACUAGAUACCCAUUGAUGGAGAAGUGGGCGCUGGCUCUAAUAACGGCAGCACGAAAACUCUGACCAUAUUUUCAGGCCUAUCAGGUUAUUGUGAUGACCGACCAGCCGCUUCGGCAAACACUUCAAAAAUCAGAUGCAUCGGGUCGAUUAGUAAAAUGGUCCGUAGAGCUAAGUGAAUUUGACCUCUCCUAUAGGCCCCGAGGAGCAAUCAAAGUCCAAGCUCUGGCAGAAUUUAUGGUUGACCGAGCUGAUACAGGGGAAGAAAUUCGGGAGGAGCAACUAACAGAGCAGGAGAAGCCAGAGGGGGUGUGGUUGGUAAUGGUUCACGGAUCAUGUAGUGAGCAAGGAUCCGGAGCAAGAGUUGUAAUACGGAGCCCAGAUGGAACCGAAAUAACGUAUGCAGUGAAGUUUGAAUUUCAGCUCACAAACAACCAAGCUGAAUAUGAGGCCUUUAUCACCGGGCUCGGACUUGCACAUGCUCUAAGAGCAGAGAGGGUAGAAAUUCGAGCAGAUUCCCAACUGGUGUGUAAUCAGCUCAAUGAUCAGUUCGAAGCAAGGGGAGAGAAGAUGUGUCUUUAUUUGAAGAAAGCGAAGCAGAUGGUUGGGCUUUUCCAAGCGGUGGAGGUAAAGCAGAUAUCUCGGAAUGAGAAUUACCGAGCAGAUAUGUUGGCUAGGAUGGCUGCCAUUGCAGAUCCAAAAUUACCUAAGUCGGUUCCACUAGAGGUGAGGAUCUCACCAAGUAUAGAGGAAGAAGCAGAGGUUAUGAGAAUAAGUACUGGAGAAUCUUGGAUGGACCUGAUUCGCGCAUAUGUCCGCGAUGGAGUUUUACCAGAGGACAAAAGGCAAGCAAGAAAAUUAAAAUGCCGAGCAGCGAGGUAUACGCUACUGGAUGGAGUGCUGUACUGCCGAGGGUUCACCUUGCCCCUUUUGAGAUGUUUGGAUGAUGAGGAGGCGGAUUAUGUGCUGAGAGAGAUUCAUGAGGGAAUAUGCGGCAAUCACUCGGGAGCAAGAACUUUAGCCUUCAAGGCACUCCGACAAGGAUACUUCUAGCCAACCAUGCACCAGGAUGCGAAAAAGAUGGCAAAGAAUUGUAAAACAUGCCAAAGCUUCUCCGAGGUUCCUGCACAACCCUCGGAAAAGCUGACGGCUAUGACAUCCUCGUGGCCUUUCGCUCAAUGGGGAAUCAACUUGAUUGGUCCGUUGCCUAAGGGACGAAGAGCGGCGACACAUGCAAUUGUGGCAAUAGACUACUUCAUCAAGUGGGUGGAAGUGGGAGUCCUCAGCCAAAUCACAGAGAGAAAGACAAUAGAUUUUAUUUGAAAAAAUAUCAUCUGCAGAUAUGGGAUCCCUUACGCCAUCAUCACAGACAAUGGGAGGCAAUUUGACAACAGCAACUUCAGGAAAUUUUGCCGAAACUUGGGGGUGGACCUGAAGUUCUGUACCCCCGCACACCCCCAGGCAAAUGGACAAGUGGAAGCAGCCAACAAGGUGAUAAAGAAGCUCCUGAAGACUAGAUUGGGAGAGAAUAAGGGAGCUUGGGUUGACGAGCUACCAGGAGUAUUGUGGGCCUAUAGGACAACUCACAAAACCGCCACAGGGGAAACCCCGUUCGCUUUAGCUUUUGGUCAUGAGGCGGUAGUCCCAGCAGAAGUGGGAGUGGGGACACAUCGGACGGAAUAUUUCACUGAGGAGCAAAAUGACGAGCAGAUCUGCUUGAGUCUGGACCUGCUGGAGGAAAAAAGGGAAGGGACAUCGCAGAGAGUGGCCCAGUGUCAACAAAGGGUCAUGCGUUAUUACAACAAGAACGUACGCGUGAGGCAGUUCCGAGCAGGAGAUUGGGUACUUAGGAAGGUGAACCAGAACACCCGGGAUCCUAACCAUGGCGCUCUUGGCCCAAAGUGGGAAGGCCCAUACCGAGUGAUAUGAGCCACUGGACCAGGAGCAUAUAAAUUAGCGUACCAAGACGGACGAGACGUGAAGAGGUCAUGGAACGCCGAACACCUGAAGAAGUAUUUCCAAUAAGCAAAAUGCUCUAUUAAAUCCUCACUCUGGCAAGUUAUUUCUGUUACAAUGCAUGAUGGCCUGUAGCACAUGCAUAUAUUUUGUAUUUUUGUAAUACAUUCAAAUUUCAAUAAAGAUGAAUUCAGAAUGAAAUCCCCUGCUAGCGAGCCCAAUAAGAAAUUUUUUACUAAGGCAAGUAAGUGCCUACUUCUGCUCGGUCAGUGAAAGACUAGCAGCUAAUUUCUUGUAAAAAUUUUACUAAGGCAAGUGAGUGCCUGCUUCUGCUUGGUCAACAGAAGACCAGUAGCUAAUUUACGAGAACUUUACUAAGGCAAGUGAGUGCCUGCUUCUGCUCGGUCAACAGAAGACCAGCAGCUAAUUUAUGAGAACUUUACUAAGGCAAGUGAGUGCCUGCUUCUGCUCGGUCAACAAAAGUCCAGCAGCUAAAGCUUCGAAAAUUCUACUAAGGCAACAAAGUGCCUGUUUCUGCUCGGUCAACGAAAGACCAACAGCUAAAGCUUCGAAAAUUCUACUAAGGCAACAAAGUGCCUACUUCUACUCGGUCAACAGAAGACCAGCAGCUAAUUUACGAGAACUUUACUAAGGCAAGUAAGUGCCUGCUUCUGCUCGGUCAACAAAAGACCAGCAGCUAAUUUACGAGAACUUUACUAAGGCAAGUGAGUGCCUGCUUCUGCUCAGUCAACGAAAGACCAGCAGCUAAAGCUUCGAAAAUUCUACUAAGGCAACAAAGUGCCUGUUUCUGCUCGGUCAACGAAAGACCAGCAGCUAAAGCUUCGAAAAUUCUACUAAGGCAACAAAGUGUCUACUUCUGCUUAGUCAACGAAAAACCAGCAGCUAAAUUUACGAAACCUUGACUAAGGCAAGUAAGUGUCUGCUCCUGCUCGGUCACUGAAGACCAGCAGGCAAUUUUGCAAAAAUUUUACUAAGACAAACGGAUGCCUAUUCCUGUUCGAUGCACUAAAGAACCAACAGGCAAAACCAGACAAGAAAGCCAAUAGAGAGCAUUCAAAAAAUUUUAUAAACGUUCAAAUGUUUACAAAGCAAAUGAAAAACUAGAGUCUUUACAAAAAUAAGACCUAAGGAUUAGGAGGAUCAACGGCCUCAGCAGGUGAAGGGUCAGCUAUCUCGGGAGGUGGAAGGUCAGUAAUAUCGGGAGGUGGAAGGUCAGCAAUAUCGGGAGGAGGAGGCACGGACCUCUGUCCUACUUCAAAAACACGCUGCCCAGCUUCUCCCUCCUGCACCCCAUCCAAAGGAGCCUCCACCUGCUCCUGCUCACCCUGCUCCUUAUCUGCUUGGUCGACCUCUGCCAUAUACCGCUGCACUCCGGCCUCCAGCUUGCUCAUGUCCAGCUCGGGAUAUUCAGUCUUAAGCACAGACAUGAUGCACUUGUAGGAGAAGGCAACCCCAAAAUCAUACUCGGCAUCCAGCCGAUCAUCCACAUCAGCGGAUUUGCCUCUCUCCUCAGUCAGCUGCUCACCCAAGGAUUUGAUUUCCCCCUCAAGGGCGGCCCUCAAAGUAUUCCUUUCAGUUUGAGUAGCUUGAAGAUCAGAUCUCAGGUCACCCAACUCGCCCUCGAGUUUGGAGGAAGUGGAUUCAGCAACCGCAACCUUCUCCUCUAGCUCCGUAAUCUCCUUGUUCAGCUCAGCCAGCUUCUCCUUGGAGCGAUCAACAGAGUCAGCUUUCUUCUUCAAUUCCUGAUUAUCAGCUUGGAGCUUCCUCUCAUGGCGCGCGGACCCAAUCUUAUAGCACGAAACCAUAGUGGCCAACCUGAAGGACACUCUCUGAACAGAAGCAGCUAGCUCGGAGAGGUUCAUACUCUCGAUGUCCUUCACCAUCUUGGGCCCCACCGAUUUCUUGAAAUCCUUCUGAUACGGGCUCAGGUAGUCUGCUUGAUCCCGAGAUGGUAGAGGAGAAGAUCGGUCCCCAGACUGGUGGCUGGCCUCAGGACUCUUGUCAGAAGUUUUCUCCCCGCCACUCUUACGGGGUGGGGGAGGGGGCAGAGCAGGGACAGGAGCCUUGGAAGGGCCGACGCUGGUUUUCUUCGGAGGAGGAGGGGGGUUGCUGGAGCUACUUGGAGCUCGACCACUCUUCCUGCUCAUUGCGCUAAGGAUCGUGUUAUCCAUUCCAACAGCUAGGUCCACUAGGCCCGAACCGACCAGGCUUGUUGGGGACAGGAGGUCUUGGCAGGUAGAAGCGUUAAACAGAGCAGUUUCCACCCAAAGCAAAGGUCGAUCUUCAAGCCCCCCGAUUAAACCCCACGAUUCUGAAAUAGCAAAAGAGGUUAAAGAACUCGAUAAGUGACAAUUUGACUAAGAACAUAGGCAAAAAUGAACGACCUGGGGUGACAAAAUGUGUGGGAAGAUAAAUGUCCCCACCAAGCGACCGAACCGCUGGACACCAAUUCCCUCCAGCAAAGAAGAAUUUGUUCUUCUAAUUUUUACAUGAAGAGGGAAACCCAAUGAUCGGUUUCCUCUUUGCAGAACUGGACAUAAAGUAGUACCAGCCCGCUUCCCUCGGGCUACUCCGCAGCUGGUACAGAUAUUUCACUUCAACAAGGGAAGGCUCCUCCGACCCGCACCUCUCUCACAACACAAACAUUGCCGAGAGAACCCUCCACCCAUUUGGGUGUAGCUGACCUGGGGCUAGGUGCAUAUCGCCCAAUAUCUUGGCAAAAUAACGUUGAAGGGGCAGCCGAGCUCCUAGUCUGAAACUCUCCAAAUGCAUCGUCACAUACCCUUUCGGAGGCCGACUAGGGACAUCACCUUUUCCAGGAACUACAAGAAGAACAUCGUUGGGGAUGUCGUAGAGGUUCCUAAGCUUAAAUAGAUCAGUGGGGGUGGUGGCACAAGCUAUGAAAUCAAUAGGGUAGGAAUCAGCCUCCACCCUAUGGCCAAGAUGCCUUUUUUUAGCAGGUCCGCUCGGUCCGAAACUACUCCCCUCACCAUCACCAGUUCCUUCAGGGAUCCCAACCCCACUAAAGCCGUGGUCCUCACCAGAGCCCGACGCAGGCCCACCUCUAUUCCCUACAAGCUCUAGUUCGGGGGAGGGAGAGACAACCAAGGGUCGUGGGUACUCAAGGGUAUCCUUACCAUGGGAAGGACCUACACUACUGGAGGGGCCUAAGAAAUCUGUGGGUAUUGACACGUUGAGGCCUGAAUCCCCUGAUUCUUCAUCACCCUCGUCAACAAUUAACUUUCUUUUCCGAUUUGACAUAUCAGAAUCCCAAAAGAAAAACAAAGAAAAGAAAGUUUAGGGUUGACAAGGUUUGACUAUCAAUUUCUACUCUUGACUCAUUUCACUCACAAGACCAGAAACUGGGGGACUGGUGUUAAGCGAAUAAAAGCACCAGGUCGGCCAUACUAUUAUUGCCACCCCGGCAUGGAUCACCUCAGCCCUGUGGUACGAGCAGAGCACAGGGGCACACACCAACUAGAUGUUCAUAUCGAACCGAUAUACAUUCCCCAGAAAAGCGGGAACACGAUCCCACAGAAUCACGGCAGUUGUGCUUUGCCCAGAACCGUUGAAGGGCACGGGAGAUCCCACGUUUGCCACAAUGCAACAAUCAGAGCCCCAUGAGGGGCGGCCACCACCCGAAAAAGGGGGGAUAGAGGGUAAGCGGAAAACGUGGGACAAACAGCGGCUAUAAAAGAAGAGGAAAUCGAUGAAGAAAAGGACACUGAAAAAUUGAGAGGGGAAAAUGCUGCCAAAUUACAACCAGACCAUUUUCUUACAAAUUUCGAACAAACUUCUUGAAUCCAAAUUACAUUGUUUUCCCGUAAACACCUUGUACUAACUUAGGCAUUGGAGGGUUUACGCCGGCAAAACCACCGGCGUCUCUUAUCCGUUUUUACUGAACGCAGGUCUAGUGAGAGAAAUGAGGGUGAUUCCAGCCUUAGCGGUUCGUGCAACAGUCGAUAUCUUAAACGUUGGUGAAAGAAUCUGGUCGGUCCAAGGACGAGCAGAUUUCGACAUCAACAAUGGCAACUCCACAAUGAUGAUAAUGAUAAUUUUGUGAUUCAGACACGUUGUUAGGAAUUCUGUAUUGGUUUUUCUCUCGCCUUCGAUGUCUACGAUGAAGCAUAUUAUGGCUUUUAAUCUGCAACUGCUGCAAAAUGGACUCACUAGCUAGCAAAUAAUAAUAUAUAGUGCUGUCAAAUUUAUAAAGAUUAUAUAUACACACACUUUCGUGUUCAAUGCACCGACACUAGAUGUAUAUUGGCAUUUAGAAAAAUUGGCAAUAACUAAUGACUUUCAAGAUUAAUUAAAUGACAAUAUUCAGUCUAUCAUAAAACAAGUUUUCAACAAGUGAAGAGGAGGUACUCUUUAUAAUUGGAUAAUUAAUGCAACCUUCAAUAUUUUCAACCAAAAAAAAAAUGAUAUUUGAUAUGUAUUCAACAUUAGGGAAAAACCUCCCAUAUCGAAGGUUUGCUUAAACGAUCAAAUAAAUCCACUUAGUUUCGUAAAUGGUUGUACAUAUCCUCUUUUUGACUAUUUAUUGGGUUAUGUUUGAGAGUUAGGACUAAGUGUGGGAUUAUACUAACUUUGAGAUUAAAUAUUAUUCUAUAUUUAGCAAUUUUCCUUAGAUUGGAUUAUGAGAGACUAAAUUCUAAGUUAGUUGUUAAAUAAAGGGGAUUGGCAAUACCAAUUUAUAAAUAGAUUUAAAUGGGAUUAGAAUAAGAGGAUAAAAUGUUCAUUUGUAAUAUUUCUUUCAUAUAUAACACCAUCUUUUAUUUAUUACUUCAAAUUUAAUUAAUGAAUUAAUUAUUUUAUUCAUGAUUUACUUGAAAUAUAUUUUUUAUUUUGUUUUUAUAUUCUAAUUAAAUUGGUACUUUAAUUUAAUAAUUUUUUACAUUAAUUGAUUGUACUAAAUUUAAUAAUCACCAAUGUGAUAUUAAAAUAUAAUUAUGAAAAUUAAUAAUACUAGUAAUUAAUUGAUUUUAUAUAUUAUUUGCUAAUUUUUUGAUAAAAUAAAAUAUAUAUCUAAAAUAUCUAAAUAAUCAAAAAGUUUUAUUAAUUUAUAUUUUUUAUUACAAUUAUGACUACCCAUAAGUAAUUUACUGUAUAUUUAAUGUUCUUAUUAAUUAUAUUUAAAUUAAUCUUAAUUAUUAUUCUUAAAUAUUCAUAAAUAGUUUUUUAUUUAAAUAUAAUUUAAUAUUGUCUAAUCCAAUGUUGUACUAAACAUAAGACAGUAGUGUAUAAUCCAACAUAACACUUAGUCCAAUUUAGUCUUGCAUGCCAAAUGUAAUCUUAUACACUUUGAUUACAACAAGCCAAUAAUUGACUUAAAUAAACUUCUAUAAAAUUAUAAGUUAAAAUUAAAAUAGUAUGAUAUAUAAAAUAAGAUAAAAUUUAUAAAUUAUUUUGAAUAUUAGAAAAAUGAUUUUAACAUUAUUAAUUUGUCAUAUUCUUUUACUACUAAUAAAAUUUGUUUGACAAAUUAAUAAUAUUAAAAUAAUUAUACCUAACAUUCACAAUAAUUUAUAAAAUUUAUAUAUUUUGUUAGCAAUUUUUUUAAUUAUGUCUAUAUUAAUAUAAAUCUUAAAGUCAAUUUUUGGAUUAAUAGAUUUUAGUAUAUAUAAUAAUAACUUAAUAUUAAAAAUAAUUUUCAUUACAUACGUUAUUCUAUUAAUUAUCUUAUUGUAAUAUUUUAUUUGUAUCAUAUGAUAUUUAUUAAUUAUUUUUUUAUCUUAUUAGUAUAUUUAUAUUUAUUUGUGUUGUUGUAAUCAAAGGGUAUAGUAACUAAAAAUGUGUUUAUGUGACUAUUUAACCUAAAGGGUCUUUGUGACCAUUUAAGUAAACCUUGGAAAUGUGUGACAAUAGUCAUUCUAAUGACUUUCAAGAUUGAAAGUGAGUCGGAUUAUCAAAUUAUGAAGCAUUAAUACGUAAUGUUUUAUGGUUAUUUUAAGGUUGAAGCUGGUUUAUUCAUUAAACAAGCUUUUAACAAGAGGAGAAAGUUCCCUUUAAAAUUUAAUAAUUAAUACAACCUUCAAUAACAAAAAAGUCAUAUAAUAAGGAUGAUGAUUCUUGUUCACUUGGAUACAUAUAUAUAACCUAUGAUGUGGUAAGCAAGGUAUCAAUUAUGUAUUUCUUGUAUCUGAAAAAAUGAAUAAUCCUUUAACGAAGGUUAUCAUCAAUUGCAGGUUUCUAGUUUGGCUGCUUAGUUUUAGGACUACGAAUUUUACAAUAUCAUAAUUAAAGGAAAGAAUAUAUGCGGUAGUCUUUGCCUGAUCUACUUUCUUCUUCUUAAUUAACCACUUAAAAGGAAAGAAUAUUGUAUACGCAGCGCACUAUAAUACUCUAAUUACCAAUUCUUUAUCUUAUAAUAUAAGUUCAUAGUGAUUAAUUUGCCCUUCUCCAGCAAAAAAACAAAUCCCAUUUCAGCACAUCUACAAGAGCCCUCAUUUCUCUUUGCUCCAGCCAAUUGAUAGCAGAAUCAUCACAGACACCUUGAGCUCCGUCAAUCAUCAUAGACAAUUGGUGACUAGUGGGAGCAUUACAAGGAAGGUACGACGAGUACAAACUGAUAGAUUUGUUUAUAUGAUUCGGCUGUAGUUUUUAUAUAUGGUUAAAUUAUGACAAUAAUCAAGAGAUAAUCAUGUACCUCAUUAGUUUCAUAAAUGUACAUACUAAUUUAUUCCCCUGCUUGCCAGAAUCAAACAUGUAGAAUAAGAUAAAUUUUAAGAUUUAAACUUUUCAAUUCAUUAAAAAUCUAGUGGGAUAUUAAUCGGUAAAACCACUUCGGGGUAGUACAAGAGGUUUGUGGUGCUAACCAAUUUAUGUGAGUGGAGAAAGAAUUAGGCUUUUUUAAUAAAAAUUAAUAAUCAUAAUAAUAAAAGGACAUAAAUUUCAAGAUUUAAAACUUUAGACUUCAUUAGAAGUAAGAGGGGGAUCGUAAAAAAUUUGAAUGUAACUUAUCGAUCGUGGAAUGGAUUUUUUUUUUUUUUUUGUUGCAGCUAUUUACACACCUUUGAACACAUGUUAGGGUGAGGGUAUUUCAAUAUUUUACCCACAUCUCAAUAAAAUAUUUUGAGGUGAUGCUACCACUAAACAACUCAUUAAACUCAUUUACUUAAUACACACACUUCUAAAAUUUAAAAUGCACAAUUUUAUUUUACAAACCCAUUAAUACCUAAAAUACCCUUAUUAAGUUAAAUUAUCACAAUUUCUCUUAUCAUUUUCUUUUCCCAUCAUUUCUCCGUUUCUUCACUCUUUUCUUCUUCAUUUUUGGAGCUUUACCCAUAGCUUUUUUAUUCCAAAUUCUCAAACUUUUUAUUUUAUUUUUUAAUAGCUAUUUUUCCCGUUGAUAUUUCAUGCGUUUAUAUGAUUCAGCUAUAGUUUUAACUUUUAUAUAUGGUCAAGUUAUAACAGUAAUCAAGAGAUAAUCAUGUUCAUCAUAAGUUGCAUAAAUGUACAUACUAAUUUAUUCCUCUACUUGCCAGAACCAUACAUAUAAAAUGAGAUACAUUUUAAGGUUUAAUCUUAGGGUUGGCAAUAAGCUCCGGAUCCAGCCCAGAUCCGCAACAAUCCGGAAGAUCCGGAUCUGGAAAAAUACGGAUCCGCAUGCUAAAAAAUGCGAAUCCAGAUCUUAAAAAUCACAAUCCGUGCGGAUCCGGAUGUAAGUGCAUCCGGAAAACCGAAUAUCUGGAUCCACAAUUUUUUAUAAUUAAAUUAUUUAUUUAAUUAAAUUUCAAUUGAAAAAUAGAUAAAUUAAAUUAUUUAUUUAAAUGUAUAAGCAUAAUUAACUCUCUAGUCUUCAUUAACUUUAAAAAAUAUGUUAAUAAACUAAUAAUAAUUAUAAUAAUUAGAGAAUAUUGUAAUAAAUCGGUUUACCUUACAUUUUUUUUAUGCUUGAUUUAUAUUGUGAAAUUAUUAUUUGUGAAUUUAUGGUGUUGUUGUAUGUUAUUUAUGUUGAAUUGAAGUUAAAUUGUUGAUUCUUAAAUUAUAAUUGAAUUUUAUUUAAUAUUAUUAUGUAAAUUAUUAAAUAAAAUUAUAUUUAAAUUUAUUAUUAUGCAUAUCCGAAUAUCCGGAAUAUCCGUCCGCAAUUUGUGCGGAUGUUAUCCGCAUCCGGAUUCUUAUUUUUUUUUGCGGAUCCGGAUGUCAAAAGUUUAAUCCGGAUCCAGAUGCACUAAGAUCCGGAUCCAGAUCCAAAUUUUGCCAUCCCUAGUUUAAAACUUUGCAAUUCGUUAAAAAUCUUGCGGGAUAUUAACCGAUAAAACCACUUAGGGAUAGUACAAGAGGUUUAUGAUUUCUCAACCCAUUUAUGUGGGUGGAGAGAGAAUCAAGUGUUUUUUUAAAUAAAGAAUAAUUAAUAAUUAAUAAUCAAAUUAAUAAAAAUAAAUAAAUUGUAAGGGGGAUCGUAAAAGUUUUGUAUGUAACAUAUCGGUAGUGGAAAGAAUUUUUUUUGGAGAGGCUAUUUGGCUUGGAACAUAUAUUACAAUACUCUCUUCAUCCACUUCUCAAUAAAAUAUUUUAUUAAAAAAAUUUCCUUAAUUGAAUUAUUGUUUUAGCCAUAUAUUAUGUUCGUUUAUCUCCCUAAAGUUUUUAUUCUUUCACCCUUUUUUCUCUUUUCCUCUGUGUCUCCCCAAUUUUUUUCCAGUCCUAUGGGGUUCUUAUUAAAGCUUCUAUUGAGUAAAAUCUAUAUUAAAAUUUCUUAUAAAAAAAAAAGAAAAAAAGAAUUCGUCUCUUUUAAAAAUUGUCUUUCCUUCCUUUACCCUUGAGUUACUAUUAGAUGUAUAAGCUCAAGAUGAGACUAGUAAUUGGAUUUCCAUUAAAAGUUUUAAUUUCAAAAAAUCAAAAGAUCACCAUACAAAUAUCAAAAGGUCACUAACUUAAUUAUACUGGUAAUAAUUAAGAUAAAUAAAAGACCUACUAUUUCUGUUUGAUGUUAUUAUGAUAAAGAAAGAAAAAAAAGAAAUAGCAAGUUGCUGUAGUUGCAACAAUUGAGGAUAUGCUAAUAAAAGUGUUACAGAGAUAGAUUUAAUUGAUAAAAAUAAGAUUUUAAUAAAAAGUUUUGAGAGAAACAAUUAAUAAAAACUAAUGAUAUUUAUUAAGGGUAUAUUAUGAAUAUUUGUGGCCUUUUUUGAGAUAAUUAAAUAAAUUUUAAGUUGUGAUAAUGUGUUUAUUACAUAAGUGGAUUUAUUCAGUAUUCUAGUGGAUUUAAGUAGUCUCAACUCUCAUAUUAUAAUAAAUUUUUAUAUUGCUACAAUUGCCCUAAUAUAGUGGACAGUAUUAUAUUGUACACAUAAGAAUACUCUAGCACCCAAUUAAAAUUUUUAGUAAAACAUAUAAGAACUCUAAAUGUAAAGAGAAUUCCGUCAAGGUAUUGCAGUAGUAUUUAAUGCUCUUGGCUAGUGUAAACUAUUGUGCCACAUGUAGUAUUUCGAUCCUGACAAGUGCAUUACAAAUAAUGACUCUUAUUUCAGGUCUUUUAGGUACUUUAGAGAUAUAUUAGCUAUGGAGCUAGUAUUAGGUCAUCACGUGCUUCUUUUAAUGAAAGAUGUGGUUCAUUUUUCCCUAUACCAAAGCAUUUUCUGUGGAAUAAUCGUGUCAAAUGCUCAUUUAUCAAGGGCACGUGUGGUGUUGUCAGUAUGAUAUGCUAACCCACGUGCACUUAUGGAAAAUCAAAUGAGAAAAAUGAAUUAAAAAAUACAAAAGCUAAUUAAUAAUGUUCGAGUUUGAGAUGAAGAAUAUUUAAUUUUAUGGAUAUAAAGAUAAGAAAUAUUUAAUGAGAACUAUCCUAAUAUUAAAAUACUAUUUCAAAUAAAUUUUAUUUGACGUAAUAGUAUGUCUCAUAAUAAGACUCAUCGAUGUCAGAAUCGUACAUGUAAAAUGAGAUAAAUUUUAAGGUUUAAAACUUUGCAAUUCAUUAAAAAAUCUAGUGCGAUUUUAAUUGGUAAAACCUCUUAGGGGUAGUACAAGAGGUUUAUAAUUCCCUAAUCCAUUUAUGUGGGUGGAGAGGGAAUUAAGAGUUUUUUAAUAAAGAAUUAAUAAAAAUUAAUAAUCAUGUUAAUAACUUAUUGGUAGUAGAAUGGAAUUUUAUUUGGAGAGGCAAUUUGGCUCAGAACAUAUAUUAAAAUGAGGAUAUUUGAACCCACCACAAUACUCUCUACAUCCACUUUUCAAUAAAAAAUUUAUUACAAAAUUUUCCUUAAUUAAAUUAUUAUUUUAGCCAAAUAUUACGUUCAUUUAUGUCCCUAAAGUUUUUAAUUUUUAACCCUUUUUUCUCUUUUCCUGUUUGUCUCCCCAAUUUGUUUCUAGUCCUAUGUGGUUCUUAUAUUUUAAAGCUUCUAGGAGUAAAAUCUCUACUAAAAUUGAUUAUCAAAAAAAAAAAUCUCUUUUAAAAUCUGCCUUUUCUUUAUCCCCAAGUUACUAUUAGAUGUAUAUGUUCACCGUGAAAGUUUAGAUCUCAAACCUUUUCUGUAUCUUAAAUGGAUUGUCGUGGAUAUGCCUAAGAUGAGCAUUUUCUUCCUCUUCACUUCAUCAUCUUUGAUAUAGUAAUUAUAAUUGAUUGAGGAGUGUUAAAACGCAUUGUGAUGAAUGAAUGCACAAGCUAUGUGAUUAAGACUGCAUUUAUCAGCUGGUGGGCGACCGCAAAUAUUAGGCAGGUUAUUCACAAUAGUGCUACUGAAGCUUUAUAUGGAAUAAGGAGACCAAGCCUCUAUAUGAUAAGAGUUGUAUGAAUACCAAAUGAAUUGUAAGAGGAUAUGGUUAAUUUAGAUUGCAAUUUAAGAAAGCUUGAAUUCUAAGAGCACAGAAAUGGGAUCAGUCUUGCUCAAGUGUAAACUCCGUCAGUUAGGAAGCUGUCCAUCAAAUGUAAAUAUUUAUGUGAUUGAGAGAAAUUUUGGACUUUUGUUGAAAACAAAAAUGCUGUUUGCAUUUGCUUGCCCCCAAGGAUAUAUGUUGUGCAAGCAUAUAUGUUGAGACCGGCAGAUGAAAUCACUAAACUUUUACAGUUGAUCUGAGGCUCCUCUAAAGAAGGAUUUGGAUUUUGGAAUUAAUUUGGGGAAAGGGUUUUUUUUGGGUAUAUGAGUGUAAGCGUUCCUUCAAUCACGUAGCUUUGUGCCAUUAACAUAAUGGCAAUUCCACAAUGGGGAUAAUGAUAAUUUUGUGAUUGGGAACUCUUUACUGGUUUUUCUUUCGCCAUCUGUGUCUAUGAUUAAGGUUGUUUAAAGUGUUAUGGCUUUUAAUCUAUAACCAUUGUGAAAUGGACUCACUAGCUGGCAAAUAAUAAAACAUAGUGCUGUCAAAUUUUGUAAGGAUUAUGCAUACACACUCUUUCGUCUUCAAUGCCCUAAAACUGGGUAACUACAUGUAUGAUUUUCAUUCAGAAAAACUGGCAAGAACUAAUGACUUUGCAGAUUAAAAAAUAAGUAGGAUUAUCAGAUUAUGUAGCAUUGUUAUGUAAUGUCUUGUGGUUUUUUUAAGGUUAAAGUUGGUUUGGAAAUUAAUUAAAAGACGAUAUUCAUUCUAUCAUGACGAGUUUUUAACAAGAGGAGAAGGUUCCUUUUAUAAUUUACUAAUUUAUACAGCCUUUAAUAUUAAAACAAAAUUUUAUAUAUUAAGGACGAUGAUUCUUGCUCACUUAGUAAGAUAUGUACAUAACAUAGGUUUGUUAAGCAAGGAAUCAAUUAUGUAUUUCUUGUAUCUGAAAAAAUGAAUCAUCCUUUAACGAGGGUUAUCAUCAAUUGCAGGUUUCUAGUUUGGUUGCUUGGUUUGAGGACUAUGAAUAUUACAUUGUCAUAACUAAAGGAAAGAAUAUAUGCCAUGGCCUUUGGCUGGUCUACUUUUUUCUUUUCAAUUAACCUCUUGCGGGGAAAGAAUAUUGUAUAACACAGCACACUAUAAUUACCAAUUCUUUAUCUUAUAAUAUAAGUUCAUAGUGAUUAAUUUGUCCGUCUUCAGCCAAAAAAAAAAAAAGUCCCAUUUCAGCACAAAUACAAAAGCUCUCAUUUUUCUUUGCUCCGGCCAUUUUAUAGCGGUGUCAUCACAGACACCUCAAGCUCUGCCGAAUCAUCAUAGACAAUUCGUGAUUGGUGGGAGCAAAUUGAAAGUGUUUAUAAAUAUAACUUAACAAUUCACUAGAUAGCUUGGAUUCAAAAUUAGAAAUAUCAAUCAAUAAAAUAGGAAGAAAAAAUAUUGGAGGUAAUUGGAAUUAGUCUCAAAUUUCAAUUAAAAAAAGCGUGCAGUUUCAUAUAUUAAUUCACUGAACCAUUUUUUUAUUUUUAUUUUUUUUUGCUGGAAAAACGAGUUUCCCAGAUCUGUCCAUUGUCAAAAUCAACUGAUGAACCACCACACUUCGUCGCAUCGCCAUUCACCAACAGCCCCAACUUUUGAGUCUCGUACCCUUGUUAAACAAAUACACAAUAAAACAGUGAGAUAACAAAUUAUAUGUUAGCUAAUUUAAACAAUAGUGUAAACUAGGAAUCGGAAACACUAAAUGAAGAACAGAAGAGGCAGAAACUGAAUCGAAAUAAAAAAAAUUGAAACCCGAGGCCUGCACAAACACAGUCUCCUUAAAACAGAUUUACCACCUUUACGGAGUGCUUAAGGUUUGCUAGGUAUAUGUUUCCCAGGAUGCAACGGGUACGAUUUUCCAGUCAAGCACAGGCUGGAAAUUCCGACGAACCACAACCAGCGAACUCGAUCAAAGAAAAACGAAGAAGGAUGAAGGGAAAACAAGUGUGGUUUGUGCUCGUUUUUGCAAGUAGAAAAAACAGAAGUGAAGGUGCCUUUUUAUACUCAAGGGAGGAUGUAACAGCUUUUGUAUUGAAUUUUCGAAUUCAAUACAUUUUAAUUAUUUUGUUAUAACAGCCAAAUCAAUUUAAUAAAUUGAUUUCAAAAUUGAAUUCAAACAAAACGUGAAUAACAGCUAAAUAAUUGUAAAAGCUGUUACCAAUGCUUUGAAUUCACAUGAACUGUUACAAUAAAAAAUUCAAAAGGAAUUAAAAACGUGCCUAGCUUGCAUGGAUGAUUUUGGGCUGACAUUCGUGUACGCAGGACGCGCACGAGUUCAACUAAAUCGGGCUUGGAUUCGCACCCCCCCCUGCGCACGCGCGUGUGGAGAGAGCCUCUAUCCUCAUAAUUCUUACUCAUGCAUGGUUAAGUGUUUAUAUUUAAACACUAAUUCCUAGGCUUCUUUUUCCCAUGUGGGAUAAGACUCAUUUCCUUUUAAAUUUCCAACUUCAAGGGUGAACUUUGAGAGACAAUUUCUCAUUCACCCAAGCACCAUUUUGAGAAAAUAAAAUUAUACUAUUGAAGUAUUAACGGAGUAGAAUCCGAACCUCACAAUAUUUUCCACUUUCGUUAAGUGGGACCCACUCAAAAUGUGCUCUCAAAAUAGCAUGUUAUGCUAUUUUUCCAACAACCCUUACUUCAAUAAUCCAGACCCAAGAUGUCAUCAAUACCCAAACCCUCAAUUUCAUCUUCUUCUUCUUUUUUUAAUUGACCCAAGAUCUGCCAAAUAUUAUGUUAAUUAAUCUCCCUAAGGCUUUUAUUUUUUUCACCCUUUUUUCUCUUUUCCUCUCCGUCUCCCCAAUUUUUUUUCUAGUCCUGUGUGGUUCUUAUACUUUAAGGUUUCUAUUGGAGUAAAAUCUCUAUUCAAAUUGCUUAUCCAAUUUUUUUUUUCUUUUAAAAUUUGCCUUUCCUUUACCCUCGAGUCACUAUUAGAUGCAUAUGCUUGUGAUGAAACUUUAGUAAUUGGAUUUCUAUUAAAUAUUUUAAUUUAAAAAAAUGAGAAGAUCACUAUAAAAAUAUCAAAAGAUCACCAACUUAAUUAUAGCAAUAAUCAAGGGAAUUAAAAGACUUACUAUUUCUGUUUGAACUUAUUAUUAUAAAGAAAGAAAGGGAAAAAAAAAGUCGCUGCAACUACAUCAAUUGAGGACAUGCUAUGAAAAGUAUCAUAGAAAGUAGUGAGAGAAACAACUAAUGAAAAUUAAUGAUACUUAUUGAGGGUAUAUUGGGAAUGUUUGUGGGUUUUUUGAAUGAAAAAAUAAAAUUUUAAGUUGUGAUAAUGUGUUUAUUAUAUAAAUGGGUUUAUUCAGCAUUACAAUGGGUUUAAAUGGCUUUAUCCUUCAUAUUAUAAUAAAUUUUUAUAUUACUAUAAUAGCCGUAAUAUAGAGGACAAUGUAAUGAAAAUAUUGUUACUGUUAUACUUAUUAAAGAAACAAUAUUAUCUUGUACAGACAAGAACACUCCAGUGCUCAAGUGUAAAAGUUUUAGUAAAACGUAUAAGAACUCUUAAGUGUAAACAAAAUUUCAUCAAGGUGCUGUAAUAUAAUCUAAUGCUUUUUGGUAGUGUAAACUAUGUGUGCCACGUGUAGUAUUUCAAUCUUCACAAGUGGCAUUGUAAAUAAUGGCUCUUAUUUCAGUUCCUCGUAGGCACUCUAGUAUUUGGUCAUCACGUGCUUCUUUUAAUGAAACAUCUGGUUCAUUUUAUCCUUAUAUGAGAGCAUUUUGUGCGGAAUAACCAUGUCAAAUGCUCAUUUAUCAAGGACACGUGUUGUGUUCUCAGAACAUAGUAAAAAUAUGAUACGCUAACCCAUGUACAUUUAUGGAAAAUCAAAUGAAAACAAAGAACUAAAAAAAAGUACAACGGCUAAUUAAUAAUGUUUGAGUUUGAGAUGAUUAAUAUUUAAUUUUAUGGUUGUAAAGAUAAGAAUAAAAGUACGGCUAGUGAGGACUAUCCUCAUAUUAUAACACUAUUUAAAAUAAAUUUUGUUAUAAAAAAUUUUAUUCAAUUAGGUAUAUAUUUUAGGUACAAACUCAGCUAUUUGACAUAAUAGUAUGUCUCAUAAUAGGACUAACAUUUGGUCAAAUCAACCUAUUUCAAUAAGAUCCAUCGAAAUUAAUAUUUAAAAGAUUUAUCAUCUCAUUAUACAAUACACAACUUUGCCAUCUAGUAGAGAAUGAUUGGUUGGCACACCAUAGUUUACAUAAAUAUUUCUAAUAUUUGAAUCAUUUGUUAGGAAAUUUUAAUCCUACCAAUAUCUUGUAAGUAAACAUAUCAAAUAAAUAGUAAAUAGAUAAUAUAUAGAGAAUAAAACCAAUCAUACAACACAAUAAUUUACCCGAGAAAAAUUCCUACACUAGAGAAAAACCACGGCCGCCAAAGAUGACGAAAGAAAAUCCACUAUGUAAAGAUCAUUACAAUCACUCUAGUAUUUUCUUCACUUACAAAACCCCAAUAACAAAUAAUCUCUCAUUCUAGAAACUGUCUACUUGUAUAGAACUAAUUAUUGCAAACAAGUGAAUCUAACCUUCUUAUAUAUUGUGAUUGUUUCAUAUAAGAGAAAUAUUUAUUUCCUUAUAUAAUUUGUAUUCCUCCUUUAAUAAAUUCUUUGGAAUUACUUAUUCCUUAAACAUGAACCCCCCAAACAAAAAAAUUACUAGGAAAUAUUUUAAUUUAGGAUUUACAAAUCCUCAUUGAAAAAGGAGAUAUGUUACUUCAAAAUCUCCACUUUGGCGAGUUUUUUAAUUAAACGACAAAAUAUGAUCCGCCAUACAUCUAUGCAACCAUGUCGUCUCCACCUUUUUUAGUAUACUAAAACCACACUGACAUUGGACUAAUGAGAAUCACUCCACCAUGAGUAAAAUCUUGUCCUCUAUCCAGCAACCAUAAUUUUCUACAUCGAGAAUCAUCAUACUUCACAUUAUCCAGAGUACACAUGUUUGGCAUAUGUCGAUCACAUUUCCGAAGUUACCCACUCUCAUGUUUGGCUUCUUUGAGAGUCCUCAACGAUCAAGAUAAAAAGUCCACCACAUACCUUGCAUAAAUACUAAACUACAUGUUGUGUGCACAUCUUGUGGACCCAUUAGCAAUAACACAUCCUCUUCCACGACACACCAAUAGAUGAGAUAAUUAGUAUCUCCUUCUAUUAAUUUACAGCUACUUUCCAAAUUUGCUAUAUUCUAACAAUCUCUUUUAAGAUGUUUUGAUUACCUACACUCCUCCAGGGGUUUCUACUAGUGGAAUAGGCCUGACAUUGCUCUUUGCUUUACUUGUAUAGACAGAUUGAAUCAGUAUGUUAUUGACUUGAGCUUCCCAAAAGCCAAAAUUAAUUAUUCCGUCAAAUUUUUCUAUUUCUAUCUUCAUAAGUUUUGAAAACCUCCUUGCUGACGUAUUUGCUCUACAUUGCAGCCUUAGCUCUAUUAUCACCUGCUAAGAAAUAAUUAAUCUCACCUAAGAUUUGCAAGAAAAAAUAUGAAAUAAAUAGUAAAUAGAAAAUAGGUGGAGAAUAAAGCUAAUAAAAUAAUACAAAAAUUUACAUGAAAAAUUUCUAUAUUGGAGAAAAAUUAUAAUAGCUAAGGACGAUAAGAGAAAAAUUUAUUAUGUAAAAAUUAUUAUAAUUACUCUAGGGUUUUUCUCACACCUAAAACACCAAAAGCACCUAAUUUUAAUAGAACUACUUUUCUCUCACACUGAAAACUAUUUACUUAUAGAUAACUGAUUGUUGAAUUAUGCAGAGAAGUAAACUCAAUCUCUAUAUAUAUAUGUAGUGAUUAUUUCAUAUAGAAGUUGCAUUCUUUUCCUUAUAUGAUUUGUAUUCCUCCUUGAAUAAGUUAAGUUCUAAAGAGAAAAUUACUUAUUUCUUAAAUAUGAAUUAUCUUCAAUAAGAAAACUGAAAAGUGUAGAAAAUUCCUAAUUUAAGACUUAAAAAUCUUAUUUGAAAAAAGAGACAUCUCCCAAUAUCUUCAAAUCCUCCUUACAAUGCCACCAAUCUCUUUUGUGACUAGCCCAGUUGAAACUUUUAAUGGAUGGGCUGUAAUUGCGAAUAUCCAAAUAAAACAAAUUUCCAUAGGUAUAUUGGUAGAUUGAAUGACAACUAACAACACAUGAUUUGAUUAACUUACUUCCAAAAAAAAAGAAAAAAAAGAUACAAUGGAUGAACAUUAGACUCUUGUGCCAACUCAUGGAAUUCAUCAAUAAGGCCUUGGCUGAUCCACCUCAUGACUAGUAGAGUUCAAACCCCCGCUAAAUAGUAAAAAAAUAUUUGGAUUAUUAAUUACUCUUUCUUAAGUCUAUUUAAACUUAACUUUGAGAAUUAUGAACGUCUACACUAUAAUUAAAACAAUACAAGCCCACCCGUUUGUAUUUAAAAUUUUGUUUGAAUUUAUUCACGAGCAACAAGAAUAGUAUAAAUGGAAAAAAAAACCAUCAAAUAAUAUCCCAUGACUCUGUUUCUUCAAUUUCAGGAACAAUGGUGGAAUCAUAUUUUCCGAUUGAAAAACUUUUGGAAAAAUUAGGGAGCUUUGCUUAUGAAGAACUUUUAUUGUUCUGCGGUGUCAAAAAUGACUUACAAAAGUUAAAGGAGACGUUAACCACUGUCAAAAGUGUGGUUUUGGAUGCUGAGGAAAAGCAAAUCCAUAAUCACCGGUUAAGCGAUUGGCUGGGAAAACUUAAGGAUGCUUGUUAUGAUGCAGAAGAUGUGUUGGAUGAAUUUGAGGUGGAAGAUCUACGAAGGCAAGUCAUGAAGCAAAGAAGCAUCGGAAGAAAGUUUCGUAACUUUUUUGGAUGCUCAAAUCCGAUAGCUUUUCGUUUUAGAAUGGGUCAUCAAAUCAAGAAAAUUCGAGAGAGGUUUGAUGAGAUUGCAAAAUUGAGGGGUGAGUUUAAUCUCAUUGAACGACUUGACGAUCAUCGGCGAGUUGUGCACAAAGAAAGGGAAUCCACUCACUCCUUUGUGCUUUCAUCAGAUAUUAUUGGAAGAGAUAAAGAUAGAGAAAAGAUUAUUGAACUAUUGAUGCAAGCAAGUUCUGGCGAAAGUGAAACUCUGUCUGUUAUUCCUAUUGUGGGAAUUGGAGGUCUGGGCAAAACUGCUCUUGCACAGUUGGUGUUCAAUGACCAAAGGGUAGAAGAGCAUUUUGAGUUGAAAAUCUGGAUGCGUGUUUUUGAGGAUUUUGGUGGGAGACAAAUUAUGAGAGAGAUUAUGGAGUCGAUCAUUGUACAAAUUAUGAGAAAGUGUGUGUUCCUAGGUGACUUGAAUACACAACAAUUGCAACGAAUCUUGCGAGAUCAUUUGAAUAGUAAGAGAUGUUGGGAAAAUAUGCUCUUUAAAAGCAUAUGUGUUUAUUUGAAUGUAAUAAACUAUUUUUCUGAUCAAUAAAAUAAAUGAGGUAUUUUAUUCAAAUAUCUUGAUUGCAUUAAUAUUUGUAUUAAAGUGGGCACGAGGGGAGGUACUAUUGGCUACAACUUACAAGGUCUACCAUUCGAGGAUUGCUUGUCUUUGUUUAUGAAAUGUGCAUUUAAAGAAGAGCGAGAUAAACAUCCAAACCUCAUAAAAAUCGGGGAAGAAAUUGUGAAGAAAUGUGGGGGAAUUCCUCUGGCAGUCAGAGCACUAGGAAGUCUAUUAUGUGGCAAAACAGAUAAACGUAAUUGGGAAUAUGUGAGGGAUAUUGAGAUAUGGCAGUUAGAGCAAAUGGACACUGGCAUUUUACGUGCUCUGAGGUUAAGCUACGAUCAAUUGCCACCUCACCUGAAACAAUGUGUUGCUUAUUGUUCAAUCUUUCCGAAGGGUUAUCAAUUUUAUGGUGAUUCUUUGGUUCAAUUUUGGAUGGCUCAUGGUCUUCUCCAAUCGCAUAAUAAGAAAGAAGAGUUAGAUGAUAUUGGUAUGCGAUACUUGAAGGAAUUACUAUCAAGAUUUUUCUUCCAAGAUUUGAGUUUUGGGAUGUUAGGAAUGGAGACGUUCUCUUUCAAAAUGCACGACCUUAUGCAUGAUCUUUCCCUGCUAGUGGCUAAAGAUGAAUUCCUAGUAGUGAACUCUGAUUGUCAAUUUAUUCCCAAAAAAGUCCGCCAUUUGUCAUUUGUUGCUGCUAAUGCGUCAAGAAAUGACUUUUCAAGCCUUUUAUCUGAUCUAGGUCGUGUUAGAACCAUUUUCUUUUCAACUGAUGAUGAUGAGAAGACAAGCCAAUCAUUUAUUGAAUCAUGCAUCUCAAAGUCGCAGUUCCUAAGAGUGCUAGAUUUAAGUGGCUCUGCUAUUGAGGUUUGUCCAAGAGAGAUGGGUAAUUUGAAGCACACGAGAUAUCUUGAUCUGUCGAAAAAUUAUAAAAUCAAGAAACUUCCAAAAUCCAUUUGCGAGCUACAGAGUUUACAAACACUGAAUCUUGCUGGAUGUUUGGAGCUAGAAGAGUUGCCUAAAGACAUAAGGUACCUUGUCAAUCUCAGAUUGUUAGCGCUAACCACAAAACAGAAGUCUUUGCAAGAGAGUGGAAUAAGGAGCUUG